GCGAGCGGCGGAUGGGUGAGUAACACGUGGGGAACCUGCCCCUAAGUCUGGGAUACCAUUUGGAAACAGGUGCUAAUACCGGAUAAUAAAGCAGAUCGCAUGAUCAGCUUUUGAAAGGCGGCGUAAGCUGUCGCUAAGGGAUGGCCCCGCGGUGCAUUAACUAGUUGGUAAGGUAACGGCUUACCAAGGCGACGAUGCAUAGCCGAGUUGAGAGACUGAUCGGCCACAUUGGGACUGAGACACGGCCCAAACUCCUACGGGAGGCAGCAGUAGGGAAUCUUCCACAAUGGACGCAAGUCUGAUGGAGCAACGCCGCGUGAGUGAAGAAGGUUUUCGGAUCGUAAAGCUCUGUUGUUGGUGAAGAAGGAUAGAGGUAGUAACUGGCCUUUAUUUGACGGUAAUCAACCAGAAAGUCACGGCUAACUACGUGCCAGCAGCCGCGGUAAUACGUAGGCGGCAAGCGUUGUCCGGAUUUAUUGGGCGUAAAGCGAGCGCAGGCGGAAAAAUAAGUCCAAUGUGAAAGCCCUCGGCUUAACCGAGGGACUGCAUCGGAAACUGUUUUUCUUGAGUGCAGAAGAGGAGAGUGGAACUCCAUGUGUAGCGGUGGAAUGCGUAGAUAUAUGGAAGAACACCAGUGGCGAAGGCGGCUCUCUGGUCUGCAACUGACGCUGAGGCUCGAAAGCAUGGGGUAGCGAACAGGAUUAGAUACCCUGGUAGUCCAUGCCGUAAACGAUGA
Molecule: ribosomal RNA, 736 nt
Filed under: uncultured bacterium
Lineage: Bacteria
Description: bacterial SSU rRNA
Rfam family: Bacterial small subunit ribosomal RNA
Source: RNAcentral